This 164-nucleotide non-coding RNA is filed under the name Litonotus pictus. The record is from RNAcentral. Lineage: Eukaryota; Ciliophora; Litostomatea; Pleurostomatida; Litonotidae.
UUUUUCCCUUUCUUUCCUUUCCUCUCCUUUCCUGUUUCUUUCUCCUCUUUCCUCUUGGCUGUUGAACUUAUAAAGACCCAUGAGACAGGUCUUCACUAAAUACGGAGUGUCAAUCAAACAUAAAGACUGAGUCAGCUCUCCAAACUUCAACUCUUCCUUAUAAG